CUACGGGAGGCAGCAGUGGGGAAUAUUGGACAAUGGGCGCAAGCCUGAUCCAGCCAUACCGCGUGGGUGAAGUAGGCCUUCGGGUUGUAAAGCCCUUUUGUUGGGAAAGAAAUCCAGCCGGCUAAUACCUGGUUGGGAUGACGGUACCCAAAGAAUAAGCACCGGCUAACUUCGUGCCAGCAGCCGCGGUAAUACGAAGGGUGCAAGCGUUACUCGGAAUUACUGGGCGUAAAGCGUGCGUAGGUGGUUAUUUAAGUCCGUUGUGAAAGCCCUGGGCUCAACCUGGGAACUGCAGUGGAUACUGGAUGACUAGAAUGUGGUAGAGGGUAGCGGAAUUCCUGGUCUAGCAGUGAAAAGCGUAGAGAUCAGGAGGAACAUCCAUGGCGAAGGCAGCUACCUGGACCAACAUUGACACUGAGGCACGAAAGCGUGGGGAGCAAACAGGAUUAGAUACCCUGGUAGUCCACGCCCUAAACGAUGCGAACUGGAUGUUGGGUGCAAUUUGGCACGCAGUAUCGAAGCUAACGCGUUAAGUUCGCCGCCUGGGGAGUACGGUCGCAAGACUGAAACUCAAAGGAAUUGACGGA
Molecule: ribosomal RNA, 587 nt
Filed under: uncultured bacterium
Lineage: Bacteria
Description: bacterial SSU rRNA
Rfam family: Bacterial small subunit ribosomal RNA
Source: RNAcentral